UAUAUAGAGACAUUACAUUUAGUGCUCGUGAUUACUCACUGAAGUUUCCAUACUUUGGAACAACUGUAGUUAUUGGAAAUUACAUUCUUUAUAUCUGGACACAUAGUUUAUGAUGUCCCUGUAACAUACUGGUUUUACUGUAGAUGUUAGAUUUAUAACCUGGUUCCACAGAUUGGGUUAUUUAUUUCCUAUGUUUACUUAAUAAAGUGAUGUCAAAGAACCCUAGACUUGUCGUUUAUGGAUACCCCGUAAAACACGACUAUCACA
Molecule: long non-coding RNA, 267 nt
Organism: Mytilus trossulus (common blue mussel)
Lineage: Eukaryota; Metazoa; Mollusca; Bivalvia; Mytilida; Mytilidae
Exons: 3
Source: RefSeq, a predicted model, not a curated record